CCUGGCUCAGGACGAACGCUGGCGGCGUGCUUAACACAUGCAAGUCGAGGGCACUCUGGGGGCAACCCCGGGGUGACCGGCGAACGGGUGCGUAACACGUGAGUGACCUGCCUGGAAGCGGGGGAUAGCCGGCCCAACGGCCGGGUAAUACCGCAUACGUUCUUUCGGGGGCAUCCCCGGGAGAAGAAACCUCCGGGGCUUUCAGAGGGGCUCGCGGCCUAUCAGCUGGUUGGCGGGGUAACGGCCCACCAAGGCGAUGACGGGUAGCUGGUCUGAGAGGAUGGCCAGCCACAUUGGGACUGAGAGGCGGCCCAGACUCCUACGGGAGGCAGCAGUGGGGAAUCUUGCGCAAUGGCCGCAAGGCUGACGCAGCGACGCCGCGUGUGGGAGGACGCCCUUCGGGGUGUAAACCACUGUUGCCCGGGACGAACGGGCGGGUUCGCCCGCCGUGACGGUACCGGGUGAGGAAGCACCGGCUAACUCCGUGCCAGCAGCCGCGGUAAUACGGAGGGUGCGAGCGUUGUCCGGAAUCACUGGGCGUAAAGGGCGCGUAGGCGCCCCGUAAGCGGGCGGUGAAAGCCCGGGGCUCAACCCCGGGUCGGCCGUGCGGACUGCGGGGCUGGAGCACUGUAAGGCGGGUGGAAUUCCGGGUGUACGGUGGAAUGCGUAAGAUCCGGAAGACACCGGUGCGAAAGGCGGCCGCUUGGGCAGUGGCUUGACGCUAGCGCGACAGCGUGGGGAGCAAAACCAGGAUUAAAUNCCCCUGGUAUUCACACCCGUUAAACAAUUGGCAACUAUGGUUCCUUGGGGGAACGAAACCCCGGGUNCCGGCGCCUAACGCAUUAAGUGCCCCGCCUGGGGAGUACGGCCGCAAGGCUGAAACUCAAAGGAAUUGACGGGGGCCCGCACAAGCGGUGGAGCAUGUGGUUUAAUUCGACGCAACGCGAAGAACCUUACCUGGGCUUGACAUGCGCGGGAAAGCCCCCAGAGACGGGGGCCCCUCUUCGGAGUCCGCGCACAGGUGCUGCAUGGCUGUCGUCAGCUCGUGUCGUGAGAUGUUGGGUUAAGUCCCGCAACGAGCGCAACCCCCGCCCCUAGUUACCAGCGGAGCGAGCCUAAUAAGCUCAAGCCGGGGACUCUAGGGGGACUGCCGGUGCCAAACCGGAGGAAGGUGGGGACGACGUCAAGUCAUCAUGGUCCUUACGUCCAGGGCUACACACGUGCUACAAUGGGCGGGACAGCGGGCCGCGAGCGCGCGAGCGUGAGCCAAUCCCCAAACCCGCCCUCAGUUCGGAUUGGAGUCUGCAACCCGACUCCAUGAAGCUGGAAUCGCUAGUAAUCGUGGAUCAGCGACGCCACGGUGAAUACGUUCCCGGGCCUUGUACACACCGCCCGUCACGCCAUGGAAGCUGCGAGCGCCCGAAGUCGGUGCCGGAACCGUCUCACGACGGGCCAAGCCGCCGAAGGCGAGCGCAGUGACUGGGGCGAAGUCGUAACAAGGUAGCCGUAGGGGAACCUGCGGCUGGAUCACCUCC
Molecule: ribosomal RNA, 1535 nt
Filed under: uncultured bacterium
Lineage: Bacteria
Description: bacterial SSU rRNA
Rfam family: Bacterial small subunit ribosomal RNA
Source: RNAcentral